GACGAACGCUGGCGGCGUGCUUAACACAUGCAAGUCGAGCGGUAAGGCUCCUUCGGGAGUACACGAGCGGCGAACGGGUGAGUAACACGUGAGCAAUCUGCCCUUCACAUCGGGAUAGCUUCGGGAAACCGAAGCUAAUACCGAAUACGACCACCGAUGGCAUCUUCUGGUGGUGGAAAGUUCCGGCGGUGAAGGAUGAGCUCGCGGCCUAUCAGCUUGUUGGUGGGAAUGGCCUACCAAGGCGACGACGGGUAGCCGGCCUGAGAGGGUGACCGGCCACACUGGGACUGAGACACGGCCCAGACUCCUACGGGAGGGCGGCAGUGGGGAAGUAUUGGACAAUGGGCGAAAGCCUGAUCCAGCAACGCCGCGUGAGGGAUGACGGCCUGGUGUAAC
This 396-nucleotide ribosomal RNA is filed under the name uncultured bacterium. RNAcentral's name for it is "bacterial SSU rRNA". It matches the Rfam family "Bacterial small subunit ribosomal RNA", at positions 28 to 429 of the family's 1533-position model. The record is from RNAcentral.